Molecule: long non-coding RNA, 1183 nt
Organism: Oncorhynchus keta (chum salmon)
Lineage: Eukaryota; Metazoa; Chordata; Actinopteri; Salmoniformes; Salmonidae
Exons: 4
Source: RefSeq, a predicted model, not a curated record
AGUGACUCACCUCAACUCCCACCAUGUGAGUGUGCUGUCUGCUGUCACUCCUAGUUUGGCCCGGGUGGCAGGCUUCACCUGCUCCGCUGCAGGUCGGCAGUUCAGGGGGGUGCUGGACGAGCACCUAGCCAUGCUGUACUUUCCGGAGGGGAACAAGGAGCUGGCUGUGAAGGGGGAGGAAGGGCAGCUGUACCACUGGAGCCUACCCUCCUCCUUCCAGCUACUGAAGGGACUUUUCCAUCUUGUUCCUUACCUUUGGCUGAGACCUUCCUCGCGUGCUUGUCUUCUGUGUCCCGUGCCCUCACCCAGUGCUCCCACCCACUGUUCCCUCGACCUCCCAGCCCUUAAGGUUGGCCAGGAACACCUACACUCCUUCCUGGGAGGAAAGCUGUGCCGGGACCCUUUCGACCAGGAAGUCACAGCACAUAUUCAUAGAUGACAACAUCCGGCAGAAUGAUGAGGACAUCGUUGCCCAUCCAAAGGUGUUCCUGGACUGAGACGGCUCAGAGACCUGCAUAUAGCCUUCACCUCGUAGCUGUAUGACCUACGUCUGGUCCAGAACGACCGUUCAGAGCCAUUUCAGACCUAGUGUAUUUCAGCCAGCUAUGACAGGAACCUUCAGCAUGGGGCAGGCUAGAGUGGUGUGUCUGCAGCCUAUAGCUCCAGGAGUGGCUGCGGUUCUGGAUUUUCUGGAACACAGGAGUUUUGGACGAAAGAUACAGAGAUUUCUACACAUGUGCAAGAUCCACUGCGUGCCCUUCCCCUCCCCGAGUCCUUCCAGCUGCUGCUCUGUGAUCACUCACUCACCCCAUGACUCCGCUGCGUGCCCUUCCCCUCCCCGAGUCCUUCCAGCUGCUGCUCUGUGAUCACUCACUCACCCCAUGACUCCGCUGCGUGCCCUUCCCCUCCCCGAGUCCUUCCAGCUGCUGCUCUGUGAUCACUCACUCACCCCAUGACUCCGCUGCGUGCCCUUCCCCUCCCCGAGUCCUUCCAGCUGCUGCUCUGUGAUCACUCACUCACCCCAUGACUCCGCUGCGUGCCCUUCCCCUCCCCGAGUCCUUCCAGCUGCUGCUCUGUGAUCACUCACUCACCCCAUGACUCCGCUGCGUGCCCUUCCCCUCCCCGAGUCCUUCCAGCUGCUGCUCUGUGAUCACUCACUCACCCCAUGACUCCGCUGCGUGCC